AUGGAGAAGGCAUUGGCCAAGUUAUGGGAUAUGUAUGAGGAGAGUAAGUCAGGUAGGACCAAUGACAAUCUGGAGAGUUCCUUUCUAAUUCACAACCUGACAGAAGAGAAGAAGAAACUACAGGAGAAUUAUGACAGUUUGUAUGCUGAUGUCAAUGCUCUCUUGGAUGCCCAGCAACAGAGGGGUCUGGAGUUGAGCAAUCAAAAGGAGCAUAAGCAAUGUCUUGAUGUGAAGAUUGCAGAGCUAGAAACUGUAGUGGGCAACUUGAAGGCAGAGCUGGCAAAGAAAGAGGAGGAGAAGAAAGUACAGGAGGACUAUGACAGUUUGUAUGCUGAUGUGAAUGCUCUCUUGGAUGCCCAGCGGCAGAAGGGUGUGGAGUUAAACAAUCAGAAGGAGCAGAAGGAAUAUGUUGAUUUGAAGAUUGCUGAGCUAGAAACUGUAAUGGGCAACUUGAAGGCAGAGCUGUCAAAGCAAGAGGAGGAGAAGAAGAAGUUGCUGCAAAAGUAUGAGACUCCAGUGAACCCGACAGGUGCUCAAGCCAAUGUGAUUAGGAACUUGAAGUUCAAUCAUUUGAAGGAGAAGGAAAGGCUGACAGAAGAGAGGCUUAAAUUGCAGCAUCACAUUUCUGAGCUUCAAAAGUCUGAGGAGAAGAUAAAACAGAAGCUUCAAGGGGUGAAGGCCAUCUUAGAUGAGUAG
This 696-nucleotide ribosomal RNA is filed under the name Triticum aestivum (bread wheat). RNAcentral's name for it is "partial small subunit ribosomal RNA". Lineage: Eukaryota; Viridiplantae; Streptophyta; Magnoliopsida; Poales; Poaceae. The record is from RNAcentral.